CAGCCGCCGCGGGAAUACGCAGGUGGCAAGCGUUGUCCGGAAUUAUUGGGCGUAAAGGGCUCGCAGGCGGCUUCUUAAGUCUGAUGUGAAAGCCCCCGGCUCAACCGGGGAGGGUCAUUGGAAACUGGGAAACUUGAGUGCAGAAGAGGAGAGUGGAAUUCCACGUGUAGCGGUGAAAUGCGUAGAGAUGUGGAGGAACACCAGUGGCGAAGGCGACUCUCUGGUCUGUAACUGACGCUGAGGAGCGAAAGCGUGGGGAGCGAACAGGAUUAGAUACCCGAGUAGUCCCUGUCUCUUAUAC
This 301-nucleotide ribosomal RNA is filed under the name uncultured bacterium. Its description in RNAcentral is "partial 16S ribosomal RNA". It matches the Rfam family "Bacterial small subunit ribosomal RNA", at positions 509 to 807 of the family's 1533-position model. The record is from RNAcentral.